Molecule: non-coding RNA, 72 nt
Organism: Pangasius djambal
Lineage: Eukaryota; Metazoa; Chordata; Actinopteri; Siluriformes; Pangasiidae
Source: the annotation of a GenBank genome assembly
UCCCCGGAGGACUAGUGGUUAGGCCACAGCCCUUUUGUCGCUGCAGCCAGGGUUUGAUUCCCAGCCAGGGAA